AUUGAACGCUGGCGGAAUGCUUUACACAUGCAAGUCGAACGGCAGCACGGACUUCGGUCUGGUGGCGAGUGGCGAACGGGUGAGUAAUAUAUCGGAACGCGCCCAGUCGUGGGGGAUAACGUAGUGAAAAUUACGCUAAUACCGCAUACGAUCUACGGAUGAAAGCGGGGGAUCGCAAGACCUCGCGCGAUUGGAGCGGCCGAUAUCAGAUUAGGUAGUUGGUGAGGUAAAGGCUCACCAAGCCGACGAUCUGUAGCUGGUCUGAGAGGACGACCAGCCACACGGGGACUGAGACACGGCCCAGACUCCUCCGGGAGGCAGCAGUGGGGAAUGUUGGACAAUGGACGCAAGUCUGAUCCAGCCAUUCCGCGUGCAGGACGAAGGCCUUCGGGUUGUAAACUGCUUUUGUACAGAACGAAAAGGUCUCUAUUAAUACUGGGGGCUCAUGACGGUACUGUAAGAAUAAGCACCGGCUAACUACGUGCCAGCCGCCGCCGUAA
This 500-nucleotide ribosomal RNA is filed under the name uncultured bacterium. RNAcentral describes it as "partial 16S ribosomal RNA". It matches the Rfam family "Bacterial small subunit ribosomal RNA", at positions 30 to 523 of the family's 1533-position model. The record is from RNAcentral.